GCCAAAUAGGGGCGUUAUGGUUCCCCAUCACGACGCCAAGCGUUUAGGGGAGAAAUGGGAAUGUGGUGCGCGAGACCCAAAUCGGGGCGCAAAACCACAGCCGCCCCCGCGACUGUAAGCGGUGAGUGCCCGUCGACAUGCCACUGGAACACCCUGUUCUGGGAAGGUGACGAAGGCGCUUUGACCCGCGAGCCAGGAAACCUGCCGUGACCUCAUACCAACC
Molecule: non-coding RNA, 223 nt
Filed under: Celeribacter baekdonensis
Lineage: Bacteria; Pseudomonadati; Pseudomonadota; Alphaproteobacteria; Rhodobacterales; Roseobacteraceae
Also listed under: 1 other name
Source: RNAcentral